CAGCAGCCGCGGUAAUACGAAGGGGGCUAGCGUUGCUCGGAAUGACUGGGCGUAAAGGGCGCGUAGGCGGCGAUCAAAGUCAGGCGUGAAAUUCCUGGGCUCAACCUGGGGGCUGCGUUUGAUACUUGGUUGCUAGAGUGAGGAAGAGGGUCGUGGAAUUCCCAGUGUAGAGGUGAAAUUCGUAGAUAUUGGGAAGAACACCGGUGGCGAAGGCGGCGACCUGGUCCUUGACUGACGCUGAGGUGCGAAAGCGUGGGGAGCAAACAGGAUUAGAUACCCCCGUAGUCCCUGUCUCUUAUAC
Molecule: ribosomal RNA, 301 nt
Filed under: uncultured bacterium
Lineage: Bacteria
Description: partial 16S ribosomal RNA
Rfam family: Bacterial small subunit ribosomal RNA
Source: RNAcentral